RNAcentral lists this transfer RNA (68 nucleotides) under Dipodomys ordii (Ord's kangaroo rat). It matches the Rfam family "tRNA". From Rfam's summary of the family: Transfer RNA (tRNA) molecules are approximately 80 nucleotides in length. Their secondary structure includes four short double-helical elements and three loops (D, anti-codon, and T loops). Lineage: Eukaryota; Metazoa; Chordata; Mammalia; Rodentia; Heteromyidae. The record is from Rfam by way of RNAcentral.
GCACAACUCAAACAGUAGAGUACUUGCUUAGCAAGUAGGAGGCCCUGAGUUCAAUUCCCAGUGGUGCA